RNAcentral lists this ribosomal RNA (352 nucleotides) under Medorippe lanata. RNAcentral's name for it is "partial 12S ribosomal RNA". The record is from RNAcentral. Lineage: Eukaryota; Metazoa; Arthropoda; Malacostraca; Decapoda; Dorippidae.
ACUAAUGUAAAAUUUAAAAUUCUUGUAUUAUUAAUAGUUAUAAACUUUAAAAUAAAUAAAUUUGGCGGUGACUUAAUCUUAUUAGAGGAAUCUGUUUAGUAAUCGACACAACACGAUAAAUCUUACUUAUUUUAAAGGUUUGUAUACCGUCAUGAAGAUAAUUUUUAAAAAAAGUUAUUAAAAUUAGAAACAAUUCUAGUAAAUUAGAUCAAGGUGCAGCGUAUAAAUAAGGUAAAAUGGGUUACAAUAAUUUUAAAUUAUUUGAAUAAUUUUAUGAAAAUUAAAAUUGGAAGGUGGAUUUAAUAGUAUAUUUGAUAUAAUAUAUUAGGUAGAAAUUAGCUCUAAGUCAUGU